UACGUAGGGGGCAAGCGUUGUCCGGAUUUAUUGGGCGUAAAGAGCUCGUAGGCGGUUCCGUAAGUCGGAUGUGAAAACUCGGGGCUCAACCCCGAGACGCCAUCCGAUACUGCGGUGACUUGAGUCUGGUAGGGGAACACGGAAUUCCUGGUGUAGCGGUGAAAUGCGCAGAUAUCAGGAGGAACACCGAUGGCGAAGGCGGCAUUCUGGACCAAUAUUGACGCUGAGGAGCGAAAGCCAGGGGAGCAAACGGG
This 254-nucleotide ribosomal RNA is filed under the name uncultured bacterium. Its description in RNAcentral is "partial 16S ribosomal RNA". It matches the Rfam family "Bacterial small subunit ribosomal RNA", at positions 524 to 776 of the family's 1533-position model. The record is from RNAcentral.